GGUUGAUCCUUGCCAGUAGUCAUAUGCUUGUCUCAAAGAUUAAGCCCAUGCAUUGUGUAAGUAUAACUUGAUUCAGGGACUGUGAAACUUGCGAAAUGGCCUCAUUAAAUCAGUUAAUAGUUUGUUUAUGUAUCUGCUACUCGGAUAACCGUAGUAAUUUCUAGAGCUAAAUACAGUGCCAACUAAACCCAGACUUUCUGAAGAUGCAUUUAUUAGAUAAAAGGUCGACGCGGGGCUCCUGCCGUUGCUCUGAUGAUUCUAUGUAUAACUCGACGAGGAGCGCACGGUUCAUCGUGCCGGCGACGCACAUCAUUCAAAUUUUGCCCUAUCAACUUUCUAUGGUAGUAUAGAGGCCCUACCAUGGGGGUGACGGGUGACGGAGAAUUAGGGUUCGAUUCCUGAGAGGAGCCUGCAGAAGAAACGCUACCACAUCCAAGGAAGCAGCAGGCGCGCAAAAGUACCCAAUCCUGACACGGGGAGUGUUGACCAAUAAAUAACAAUACCGGGCUCUUCGAGUCUGCGUAUUGGAAUGAGUACAAUCUAAAUUCCCUUAACGACGGAUCCAUGGGAGGGCAAGGGUCUGGGUGGCCAGCGCAGCCGCGGUAAUUCCAGCUCCAAUAGCGUUAUUUUAUUAUAAAAAGCUCGUAGUUUGUACCUUGGGUUGGGUUUCCGCGUCCGCCCUCCGGUGUUGCACCUGUCGGCUCGGUCUUUCAUUUUUUUUGCCCGUGGGCGAUGCGCUCCUGGCCUUAAACUGUGCCGGGUCGUCGCUCCGGCGCUUUUUGCAAAGCCUACGCUCUGGAUACAUUAGCAUGGAUAACAUUUCAUGGAUUUCGGUUUUGUGUUGGCCUUCGGAUCGGAGUAAUGAUUAACAGGACAGUCGGGGGGCAUUGCGUAUUUUUAUCAUAUUCAGAGGUGAAAUUCUAUGGGAUUUAUUUGAAAGUUUUUAGCAUUUUGCCAAGGAUGUUUUCAUUAAAUCAAGAACGAAAGUUGGGGCUCGAAGUUACAUCAGGUACCGCUCUAGUCUCAGAACCAUAUCGAUGCCGACCAGCGUGAUCGGCGGAUUCGGCGGAUGUUGCUUUUAGGACUCCGCCGGCACCUUAUGAGAAAUCAAAGUCUUUGGGUUCCGGGGGGAGUAUGGUCGCAAGGCUGAAACUUAAAGGAAUGAAACUUUAAAGGAAUUGAACGGCUUAAGGGCCACCUACCAGGAGUGAUUUUUACUCAACACGGGGAACUUACCAGGUCCAACAAUUAGUAAGGAUGAAGACUGAGAGCCUCUUUCUUGAUUCUAUGGGUGUGGUGCUCUUCUUAGUUGUGGAGCGAUUUUGUCUGGUUAAUUCCGUUAACGAACAGACCUCAGCCUGCUAACUAGCUAUGCGGAGGUGACCUCGCGCAGCUUCUUAGAGGGAUUAUGCCUUUAGCCAGAGGAAGGUUUUGAGGCAAUAACAGUCUUUGGAUGCCCUCUAGAUGUUCUGGGCCGCACGCGCGCUACCGCGCUACACUGAUGUAUUCAACGAGUCUAUAGCCUUGGCCGACAGGCCCGGGUAAUCUUUGAAAUUUCAUCGUGAUGGGGAUAGAUCAUUGCAAUUGUUGGUCUUCAACGAGGAAUUCCUAGUAAGCGCGAGUCAUCAGCUCGCGUUGACUACGUCCCUGCCCUUUGUACACACCGCCCGUCGCUCCUACCGAUUGAAUGGUCCGGUGAAGUGUUCGGAUCGCGGCGACGUGGGCGGUUCGCCGCCGGCGACGUCGCAAGUCCACUGAACCUUAUCAUUUAGAGGAAGGAGAAGUCGUAACAAGGUUUCCGUAGGUGAACCUGCGGAAG
This 1819-nucleotide ribosomal RNA is filed under the name Hevea brasiliensis (rubber tree). RNAcentral describes it as "SSU rRNA". It matches the Rfam family "Eukaryotic small subunit ribosomal RNA". Lineage: Eukaryota; Viridiplantae; Streptophyta; Magnoliopsida; Malpighiales; Euphorbiaceae. The record is from RNAcentral.